UAGUCAUAUGCUUGUCUCAGAGAUUAAGCCAUGCAUGUCUAAGUACAAACCUUAAAAUGGUGAAACCGCGAAUGGCUCAUUAAAUCAGCUAUUGUUCCUUAGAUCGUACAUACUACAUGGAUAACUGUAGUAAUUCUAGAGCUAAUACAUGCCAAUAUGCCCCGACCCGCAAGGGAACGGGUGGUUUUAUUAGAACAGAACCAACCGGUGGCGGUUCGCUGCUGCCGUGCAAUUCUGUGAUGACUCUGGAUAACUUCAACGAUCGCAGUCGGCCUUGUGCCGGCGAUGGAUCUUUCAAAUGUCUGCCCUAUCAAUUGUCGAUGGUAGGUGACCUGCCUACCAUGGUUAUAACGGGUAACGGGGAAUCAGGGUUCGAUUCCGGAGAGGGAGCCUGAGAAACGGCUACCACAUCCAAGGAAGGCAGCAGGCGCGCAAAUUACCCAAUCCCGGAACGGGGAGUAGUGACGAAAAAUACGGAUACGGGACUCAGCAGAGGCUCCGUAAUUCGAAUGAGUACAAUUUAAAUCCUUUAACGAGGACCAACUGGAGGCAAGUCUGGUGCCAGCAGCCGCGGUAACUCCAGCUUCAGAAGCGUAUAUUAAAGUUGUUGCAGUUAAAAAGCUCGUAGUUGGAUCUGGGGUGUGUGGUCACCUGCUGCUGCUCAUGCUUGCGGUCUGAUUCCGAUUGGAUUGCGAGUGUGGCCGGUGUAGUGGCUGUUCAUCCUUUCUGCCGUGUCUGUGAAAACGGGUGCUGACUGGGUUUGUGGGGCAACCUGCUUAUCUGUUGGCAUGCUUUCAGAUGCCUUUAACAGGGUGUCGGGAGCGGACGGCAUAUUUACUUUGAACAAAUUUGAGUGCUCAAAGCAGGCCCAUGUGCCUGAAAAUUCUUGCAUGGAAUAAUGAAAUAGGACUUCGGUUCUAUUUUGUUGGUUUUCGGAUCCGAAGUAAUGGUUAAGAGGGACAGACGGGGGCAUUUGUAUGGCGGCGUUAGAGGUGAAAUUCUUGGAUCGUCGCCAGACAAACUACAGCGAAAGCAUUUGCCAAGGAUGUUUUCAUUGAUCUGGAGCGAAAGUCAGAGGUUCGAAGACGAUCAGAUACCGUCCUAGUUCUGACCAUAAACGAUGCCAACUGACGAUCCGUGGUGGUUCUGAAAUUGUCCCCACGGGCAGUCCCCGGAAAACCUUUAAGUCUUUGGGCUCCGGGGGAAGUAUGGUUGCAAAGCUGAAACUUAAAGGAAUUGACGGAAGGGCACCACCAGGAGUGGAGCCUGCGGCUUAAUUCGACUCAACACGGGGAAUCUCACCCGGCCCGGACACUGCAAGGAUUGACAGAUUAAUAGCUCUUUCUUGAUUCGGUGGUUGGUGGUGCAUGGCCGUUCUUAGUUGGUGGAGCGAUUUGUCUGGUUAAUUCCGAUAACGAACGAGACUUUGGCCUGCUAAAUAGUAUGCCUGUCCUCUGCGCUCGUGCAGAUCAUUGUUCUGAAGCCUCCCUGUGGGGUGUAGGGGCUUUGGUCGGCGGGUGCGGCGCAGGUUUAGACUUCUUAGAGGGACAAGCGACUAAAUUCGCACGAGAUUGAGCAAUAACAGGUCUGUGAUGCCCUUAGAUGUCCGGGGCCGCACGUGCGCUACAAUGACGGUUUCAGCGAGUUUGGAAUCCUGGCCUGAAAGGGUUGGGUAAACUGAACCAUAACCGUCGUGACUGGGAUCGGGGCUUGCAAUUAUACCCCGUGAACGAGGAAUUCCUGGUAAGUGCAAGUCAUUAGCUUGCGCUGAUUACGUCCCUGCCCUUUGUACACACCGCCCGUCGCUACUACCGAUUGAAUGGUUUAGCAAGGUCGUCGGAUUGGCGCCAUUGAAGUGGCUUUGCUGCUCAACCGGUGCUGAGAAGACGACCGAACUUGAUCAUUUAGAGGAAGUAAAAGUCGUAACAAGGUUUCGU
Molecule: ribosomal RNA, 1937 nt
Filed under: Prosogonarium angelae
Lineage: Eukaryota; Metazoa; Platyhelminthes; Trematoda; Strigeidida; Tandanicolidae
Description: SSU rRNA
Rfam family: Eukaryotic small subunit ribosomal RNA
Source: RNAcentral